UACGAAGGGGGCUAGCGUUGCUCGGAAUCACUGGGCGUAAAGCGCACGUAGGCGGAUUGUUAAGUCAGGGGUGAAAUCCUGGAGCUCAACUCCAGAACUGCCUUUGAUACUGGCGAUCUUGAGUCCGGGAGAGGUGAGUGGAACUGCGAGUGUAGAGGUGAAAUUCGUAGAUAUUCGCAAGAACACCAGUGGCGAAGGCGGCUCACUGGCCCGGUACUGACGCUGAGGUGCGAAAGCGUGGGGAGCAGACAGG
This 253-nucleotide ribosomal RNA is filed under the name uncultured bacterium. RNAcentral's name for it is "partial 16S ribosomal RNA". It matches the Rfam family "Bacterial small subunit ribosomal RNA", at positions 524 to 776 of the family's 1533-position model. The record is from RNAcentral.